RNAcentral lists this ribosomal RNA (253 nucleotides) under uncultured bacterium. RNAcentral's name for it is "partial 16S ribosomal RNA". It matches the Rfam family "Bacterial small subunit ribosomal RNA", at positions 524 to 776 of the family's 1533-position model. The record is from RNAcentral.
UACGAAGGGGGCUAGCGUUGCUCGGAAUCACUGGGCGUAAAGCGUGUGUAGGUGGUUGUCAUAGUCAGGUGUGAAAGCCUUGAGCUCAACUCAAGAAAUGCACUUGAUACUGGGCAACUAGAGGACCGGAGAGGAUAGUGGAAUUCCCAGUGUAGUGGUGAAAUACGUAGAGAUUGGGAAGAACACCAGUGGCGAAGGCGGCUAUCUGGACGGUUUCUGACACUAAGACACGAAAGCGUGGGGAGCAAACAGG